AUUGAACGCUGGCGGCAGGCCUAACACAUGCAAGUCGAACGAGUGGCGGACGGGUGAGUAAUGUCUGGGAAACUGCCUGAUGGAGGGGGAUAACUACUGGAAACGGUAGCUAAUACCUCAUACCAUCGGAUGUGCCCAGAUGGGAUUAGCUAGUGGGUGGGGUAAAGGCUCACCUAGGCGCCGAUCCCUAGCUGGUCUGAGAGGAUGACUAGCCACACUGGAACUGAGACACGGUCCAGCCUCCUACUGGCGGCAGCAGUUGGGAAUAUUGCACAAUGGGCGCAAGCCUGAUGCAGCCAUGCCGCGUGUAUGAAGAAGGCCUUCGUGUUGUAAAGUACUUUCAGCGGGGAGGCGUUACCCGCAGAAGAAGCACCGGCUAACUCCGUGCCAGCAGCCGCGGUAAUUC
RNAcentral lists this ribosomal RNA (406 nucleotides) under uncultured bacterium. RNAcentral's name for it is "partial 16S ribosomal RNA". It matches the Rfam family "Bacterial small subunit ribosomal RNA", at positions 30 to 526 of the family's 1533-position model. The record is from RNAcentral.